GUCGAACGGUAACAGAAAAAGCUUGCUUUUUGCUGACGAGUGGCGAACGGGUGCGUAACGCGUAUGCAACCUACCUUCUUCUGAGGAAUAGCCCAGAGAAAUUUGGAUUAAAACCUCAUGAUAAUAUUUAUUCGCAUGUUUAAAUAUUUAAAAUUUCGAUGGAAGAAGAUGGGCAUGCGCAACAUUAGUUUGUUGGUGAGGUAAUGGCUCACCAAGACUACGAUGUUUAGGGGGUCUGAGAGGAUGAUCCCCCACACUGGUACUGAGACACGGACCAGACUCCUACGGGAGGCAGCAGUGAGGAAUAUUGGUCAAUGGACGAAAGUCUGAACCAGCCAUGCCGCGUGAAGGAUGACUGCCCUACGGGUUGUAAACUUCUUUUGUAUAGGAAGAAACCCCUCUACGUGUAGAGGGUUGACGGUACUACUCGAAUAAGCACCGGCUAACUCCGUGCCAGCAGCCGCGGUAAUACGGAGGGUGCGAGCGUUAUCCGGAAUUAUUGGGUUUAAAGGGUGCGUAGGCGGAAAUUUAAGUCAGUGGUGAAAGCCUGCAGCUUAACUGUAGAAUUGCCAUUGAUACUGAAUUUCUUGAAUCUAAUUGAAGUAGGCGGAAUAUGACAUGUAGCGGUGAAAUGCUUAGAUAUGUCAUAGAACACCGAUAGCGAAGGCAGCUUACUAAGUUAGUAUUGACGCUAAUGCACGAAAGCGUGGGGAGCGAACAGGAUUAGAUACCCUGGUAGUCCACGCCGUAAACGAUGAUUACUCGCUAUUGGCGAUACACUGUCAGUGGCUAAGCGAAAGUGAUAAGUAAUC
Molecule: ribosomal RNA, 812 nt
Filed under: uncultured marine bacterium
Lineage: Bacteria
Description: bacterial SSU rRNA
Rfam family: Bacterial small subunit ribosomal RNA
Source: RNAcentral